AACGAACGCUGGCGGCAUGCCUAACACAUGCAAGUCGAACGAGACCUUCGGGUCUAGUGGCGCACGGGUGCGUAACGCGUGGGAAUCUGCCCUUGGGUUCGGAAUAACAGUUAGAAAUGACUGCUAAUACCGGAUGAUGACUUCGGUCCAAAGAUUUAUCGCCCAGGGAUGAGCCCGCGUCGGAUUAGCUAGUUGGUGAGGUAAAAGCUCACCAAGGCGACGAUCCGUAGCUGGUCUGAGAGGAUGAUCAGCCACACUGGGACUGAGACACGGCCCAGACUCCUACGGGAGGCAGCAGUGGGGAAUAUUGGACAAUGGGCGAAAGCCUGAUCCAGCAAUGCCGCGUGAGUGAUGAAGGCCUUAGGGUUGUAAAGCUCUUUUACCCGGGAUGAUAAUGACAGUACCGGGAGAAUAAGCCCCGGCUAACUCCGUGCCAGCAGCCGCCGUAAG
Molecule: ribosomal RNA, 450 nt
Filed under: uncultured bacterium
Lineage: Bacteria
Description: bacterial SSU rRNA
Rfam family: Bacterial small subunit ribosomal RNA
Source: RNAcentral